UACGGAGGGUGCAAGCGUUGUUCGGAAUUACUGGGCGUAAAGCGCGUGUAGGCGGUUUCUUAAGUCUGGUGUGAAAGCCCGGGGCUUACCCCCGGAAGUGCACUGGAAACUGGGAGACUAGAGUACCGGAGAGGAGGGUGGAAUUCCUGGUGUAGCGGUGAAAUGCGUAGAGAUGCGGAGGAACACCGAUGGCGAAGGCAGCCCCCUGGGCUAGCACUGACGCUCAGGCACGAAAGCGUGGGGAGCAAACAGG
Molecule: ribosomal RNA, 253 nt
Filed under: uncultured bacterium
Lineage: Bacteria
Description: partial 16S ribosomal RNA
Rfam family: Bacterial small subunit ribosomal RNA
Source: RNAcentral